GCUGACGUAGCUCAGUAGGCAGAGCACAUCCUUGGUAAGGAUGAGGUCACCGGUUCGAUCCCGGUCGUCAGCUCCA
RNAcentral lists this transfer RNA (76 nucleotides) under Bacillota bacterium. Its description in RNAcentral is "Firmicutes bacterium (anaerobic digester metagenome) tRNA-Thr". It matches the Rfam family "tRNA". Rfam says of the family: Transfer RNA (tRNA) molecules are approximately 80 nucleotides in length. Their secondary structure includes four short double-helical elements and three loops (D, anti-codon, and T loops). Lineage: Bacteria; Bacillati; Bacillota. The record is from RNAcentral.